This 256-nucleotide ribosomal RNA is filed under the name uncultured bacterium. RNAcentral describes it as "partial 16S ribosomal RNA". It matches the Rfam family "Bacterial small subunit ribosomal RNA", at positions 524 to 776 of the family's 1533-position model. The record is from RNAcentral.
GACGUAGGUGGCGAACGUUAUCCGGAAUUAUUGGGCGUAAAGGGUGCGUAGGUGGCCUGACAAGUUAUCAGUGGCAAAUCGAGGCUCAACCUCGUGGAAACUGGUAAUACUGUUCGGCUUGAGUACAGGAGAGGUUAACGGAACUCUAUGUGGAGCGGUAAAACGCACAGAUAUAUAGAAGAACAUCAAUAAAGGCGAAGGCAGUUAACUAUUCUGUUACUGACGCUGAGGCACGAAAGCGUGGGGAGCAAAACGG